GUAGCAAUUGAAUACCCAAACUAUUCUAAUGAAGUUUUUAACUUCUUUUUAUGUCUUGACUUUUGUUAACUACUGCAUUUUAGGCUGUAUAUAUAUACAGGAAUACAUGACGAGAAGUGAUUUUACAAUACUUAGUACCUGAACAUGAAUGCUUGAUGAAAUGCUUUAUAAUAUACACUGUAUUUUCGCAGUCGUUGUGAUAGUAGGCCAUGGAGAUGUUGCAUAUAUUCAAAUUUUGGCUUAGGCAGUGUGUUCUUAGACUCCGUGCAUGUCUGUUAGUUGUAAUGACUAAUCUCUCUCCAUGAAGUACAUAAUCUGUUUGACCUUUUUCCUUUUGUAGCAGCUAUAAUCUGUACUCCCUUCAUCUGGGUUUGUAGGGCUUGCACAGGCUUUUAGGUCCUCAACAUGCUAUAUGCCACCGAAAGUAUGUCUAGAAACUUCAUUCGAAUACAAAUCCAGUGACUGUUUAAUCGGGGUUUGGCAUAUGUUGGAACAGAUUAUGGUUCCAAUACUUUGUGGGAUGAGUACAUCAAGAAUGAAGAAUCACUUCAAGCAUGGAGUCAUCUAGCUGUGGUAUACACAAGAAUACUAGAGCACCCUAUAAAACAGCUUGAUCGGUACUUUAAUUGGUGAGUCAUUGACAUUAUUUAUGCAUUUAAGUACUUAAGUAUGUUUUCUUGUCAGUUGCCACUUCUACUUGUAUUAUGACUUAUCUACUAUGUCAUCCUAAAAUAGUACAGUGUGCAGGCAUCCCAAAAUUUCGCUCCAGAUGACUCAUUUAUUCCACUGAAAAACACUCGCUCUAAACAACAUCACCAUGAAAUUAUUUGAUCUGGCAAGUGUUGUGUGUUGUGUCGGCUCUGAUUCAGUUGCAAUUGAGUUUGUGUUGUUAUCGCGGAAGAAUAUUGUUCUCACUUAUGGUGACUAGAGUAGUGAAAUUAUGAUCAAUGACUAGCAAUUUAUGCUAACUGACUGCUUACUUUGGGGAGUGUGGAUGACUGUCAUUUUCUAUGUGCUUACUCUAUGUAAUCACUAUAGAGUUUUUUGCUUUCAACCAGUACAAGGCUAUGUGGAGAAAGUAUGUAGAAAUUCAAAUGGAAUUCCUGACACUAUGUAAGUUUGGUUUCCCAAGUAAUUGAAGAAAUGCUCCAAGAAUAAGGCCACCAUCAAUAUAUUUGUUCUUUUAUGGGCAAAAGAGUCUGCACGUGCAUUAUCACUUUUUAUUUGUUGAGAAGUUUCUUACCUUUGUGUUGGUCAAUUAUUUUUACGUAGAUUUUGAUAAUGUAUUUUUAGCUAAGAUGCAUUAGAUCAUUGUAGUAUAGUCGAAUGGGAUGUUCUAGAUGAACAUUUGUGUACUAUUUGUGGCAAACAUAUCUCCAAUUGUAUUAUUGGAAAUUAAGGAAAAUUUUGGCGUUU
Molecule: non-coding RNA, 1416 nt
Organism: Aegilops tauschii subsp. strangulata
Lineage: Eukaryota; Viridiplantae; Streptophyta; Magnoliopsida; Poales; Poaceae
Source: RefSeq, a predicted model, not a curated record